This 187-nucleotide antisense RNA is filed under the name Desertifilum tharense IPPAS B-1220. RNAcentral's name for it is "Desertifilum sp. IPPAS B-1220 Antisense RNA which regulates isiA expression". It matches the Rfam family "Antisense RNA which regulates isiA expression". Lineage: Bacteria; Bacillati; Cyanobacteriota; Cyanophyceae; Desertifilales; Desertifilaceae. The record is from Rfam by way of RNAcentral.
GAUAACCGAAGAUAACAGCAGGGUUCAGGGUGGGGUUAUUGAUGAUCCGCACAUCACCUCCGCCCGGUGCCCAGGUGUCGUAGACGCCGCCAACAAACAUCGCUUUGAUGACGAGUAAGAACGCGCCUAAGCCUAAAACGACGAGGUGGAAGCCCAAGAUGGUGGUCAUCUUGUUCUUAUCGCGCCA